AUGGAUAUUUCUUCGGUGUUCGAGGCAUCAACAAAUCUUUUGUUUCCAAAACCUUUUUCUCUUCCAAUUUCUCCACAAAUCAUGGAGGUUAUAAAACAGAAUCUUCAAUUCUUUCUCCAAUCGUUUUCCACUCCACGAGACUCUCACAGGUUGACCGUAGACCCGGUGAUGUUGAAAUUGUUUAUGAAUCUGCAGAAAAAGUUGAAAGAGAACUUAAGAGGAAGUAACUUCAUUUUUUCAAUAAGGUACUACGAUAAGGCAAGUAUCAUGAAAUGGUGA
Molecule: long non-coding RNA, 279 nt
Filed under: Vicia faba (fava bean)
Lineage: Eukaryota; Viridiplantae; Streptophyta; Magnoliopsida; Fabales; Fabaceae
Source: RNAcentral